Molecule: non-coding RNA, 4410 nt
Organism: Xyrichtys novacula (pearly razorfish)
Lineage: Eukaryota; Metazoa; Chordata; Actinopteri; Labriformes; Labridae
Source: the annotation of a GenBank genome assembly
AAGAGAUCUGCUCUGAGUUUGUCAAUGAGCUGUUUAAAUGAAACCUGUCCCUGCUGCAGGGACUCGAGCUCCAGGUCCAGCGGGCACACAGAGCAUUGAUCCCAAAGCCAGCUUCUACCUCUUUGCCGAGAUCAAUAAUUGUUAACUUUCUGGAGUCUCACGUUAAGGAGUUGGUCCUAAGGAAGGUGUGGCAGCAGAAGAUUGAGAAUUCUGGUAAAAGACUUUGACAACGACUAUGCGAUAGACCUCAUGGAGAGGCACAAGUCAUAUGGACCCAUCAAAGCAGCACUGAAGGAAAAGGGGAUCCGGUACCAGACCCUUACACAAAGAUGCAGGUAUACUGGGACUCUGGGGCUGGUGAUAUACAGCACAGCGGAGUAGGCAGCACAGGACCUGAACCAACGCGGAAUCAAGGUGAAGGUGAUAACCAAAGCGAACAGCGCGGCGACAGUGGAGGAGUGACUGAAUGCACCACCACCAACGGCGCAGCUCAGCAUGCGAGGGAGAGGCUGACAGAGUUCAGACGAGACACAGACCGAGGGAGCUGCAUUGGAUGAAAAGAUAAGAGCUACGACGCCAGGUGAACUCAAAGAUUAUUAUUUUUCUUGGUUAAAAAGGACAUUUACUUUUGUUCUUUUGAGUGUUACUCUAAUACACACGAAUCUGGGUCAUAAAAUAUAUAAUGACUCACAACUUAAGUUUAUACAUCAGUAAAACCGAUAAGAGGGAGUGAUUUGUAGCAAGCACCAAAUGUUGGACAAUUCUAGUAUUCGUGGAAUUUUUCUCAUGACCAGGGAGGGUCCCCACCACAGUGAGGCACCAAACCUUCCUCCCACAAGGGAUGGAUAAGUACAUCUCUUUUUUGGAACCCACAUUGUUUAGUGUUUAAUUGUUGUUCUUUGGUUAAGUUGUCUAUGUUCAGAGCUGGGUUGCCUCACAAACACAUUAGAAAUGAUAGAGUAUAAUACUUAUAUACUCUUGUUGAAUGUUAAUAGUUUAAAUAACCUGGUAAAACAUCUGAAGAUAAUGACUAAAUUAAAGGAUAGGUCAUGUUGUGUCUGGUCUGUCUGUGAUGUGUAGAUGCAGAAGAAGGCUUCGUGACACUGGCUUGCUUGUAUAAGAGGAGUUUAUUAUAAAGACAAAACCAGUAUCAAUACAGCACUGCAGUUGCUGUGAGAGGACUGCCAAUGAUGUCCAGCUCUCCCAAACCAGAGUUUGUGAUCCUGUUAUAUAGGGUCAGAGAUGUAGGUCCUCCUACAUCUCCCAAGGUAUCUUUGUUACCAUCUUUUUUUUUUAGCCUGGAAUUGAGACCUGUGUCCUGUGACCUGUGACCUGCAAACAUGCAACCUCCAGGAUAUCUGACCCAGGUACCAUAAAUGAGACACAAAGAGACACAAGCCCACAUUCCACAAUUGGUCAUCUCAGGCUCAGGCUGAGAAAUACCUCAAGGCACUGCAUAUUGGCGCAGUACUCCAUAUACCACGUAUUUCCCCCUUUGAGACUCCAUAGAGUCUCAAAAUAGGAAAAUACAUGUUUAUAAUUUCAAUUUACCACUAAAUUUUGGAGUGUGAGAGCGAAAACCUGUCAGGCAGCUAUUUUUCUAUUAUUAUCCAUCAAACAAUCAUUAUGAGUGAGGGAGAAAGAGGAGGAAAAGCUGAGAGAGACGCCGCAGCAGCCAGGAGAGGCGAGGGCUGAGCAGUGAUCCUUCAAGUUGUCUGGUCAUUCUGUUGGCCCUUUAGCUGCAGAUCAUCGGUAUGUCAAACAGCUGAGAGGGAGAAUCAGGCAUGAGGAGGUCACCCUGUGAAGUGUGCAUGACAUCUGUCUCCUAAGGAAGACAAGAGAGUGUCAUCUUGUGAGAAAACUACUUCAUUAGUAAUUAGAAAGACUUUUGGAUGCACCUCAGCUGUCUUUGUCUGCGUUUUCAUAAUCUCAAACUUCUCCCUCUCCUCCAGCCGUAUGGGUCUGUGAUGUCAUCAACAACAUGACUUUUGAUUGGCCAGAGGUCUAGCAGGUCCAGAUAUUCGCCUGCGAAUAUCCAAAAAAUUCGAGACAGGAGCGAAAAAAUAAAAGCGGCUUUUCGCCCCGCGGAAAAAUCGCCGCCGGUGUGGAAGCUUGCAUUGACUUUAUGCUGUUUUAAAAAAAGGCGAAUAAUUCGCUUGGUGAAUUCUCGCCUGGUGUGUAAGGACCUUUAGAAGGAGAAAACAAAUAAAAUACCUGGGAUCCCAAUACAUUCACUUUACAACUUAGGCUAUGAAUCACUAACCAACCUUCCAUACUUUUCAUUCUUCCUAUACUGUCUGGUAUUGACAUGUACAUUGAAAUACAACACACAGAGAUAAAUUGACAUUCAUAUCACAGAUUACACACUAACAAAACACCACUCUUAGAAAAUGAAUAAUAAUUGUUGCUUCUGAACGUUCUUGGUUGCUUGUGUAGUGUUCUUUCAGUGGGGUUUUCCGUGUUUGGGUAUCCAAUGCAAUGUCCUUGUUCACAUCCACUGUCAGGUUUCAGUUUCUGUUUCCAUUGUCCAUGCUUGAUUGUUCUUGUUGGGAUGUGUGGGUCAGUUCAAGCUGUCUAGAUCUCUGGAGAACCACCUUUCUUUAGCUGGUCUCCCCAAAUGCUAUCCUGGGGAUGAAAAAAAAUCAAGCAGUAUCUUGCAAAAAAACAUACAUUUUUGUUUGUUUGACCUAUUUAUCCUAUUUCCCCCCCCAAGUAAUACUCCCCCUGUCAUACCAUCAAAUUUAAAUCUGUGUGCUGUCCAGUCUUACCCAGAAGGUUUUUUUAUCACCCCAUUAAUUUUUUUCAUUGAUACCUUGGCUUUGCGGAUGGUACACAGCUCCCAAACAUUGUUUAAUUCCCAGUUUUUGUAAAUCAAUUGCACUGUUUUAUCCACACACUCUUCUCCAUAAUCUGGAAGUCCCCAUCUGCUUAUGACCUCCCGACACAAGAACUUGGCAACAUACUGAGCAUUCUUCUGCUUGGUUGGACAAGCUUCAACCAUUAGACCUCUCUGAACAAUAUAUUUUAGAUAGAUUGCACACCUACUGAUGUCAUAAUCAAUUUGCUCACACAAAUGUGGUGCCCAAAAACCAUACUAUGAUGUUUCUUUUACCUUCCCCCCUUGCAUCAUUGGCUAACCCUGUGCCUCCUGAAUCGUUCUUUUUCAACAAAUAAUCAAUGUCCUUGACAAGAACCAUCUUUUACUUACUUAUCAAAAACUUUCUUACUGUCUCCCUUCACUCAUCCUCUGAUAGAGCUCUCUCCUAACCAAUAAGAGUCUCUGGUAUACUGGUGUUGUGUCUGGGCUGUCCUCGAUGUGUAGAUGCAGAAGGAGGCUUCGUGACACUGGCUUGCUUGUAUGACCCUGUUAUAUACAGUUAGGGAUGUAAGCCCUCCUACAUUCCCAAAUUAUGUUUCCUUACCAUCUUGUGUUUGGUAAACCUAGAGUGGUGUUUUAUGACCUGUGGCCUGUGACCAGUGAAGUGCCCCUCCCAGGCUAUCUCACCCCAGGUAUCACUAAUAAUAAACAGAUAAACACAAGCCCACAGUCCACAACUGGUUUCUCAGGCUAUUCCUGAGAAAUACCUUAAGGCAAUGCAUAGUGAUGUAGUACUCCAGAUACCACAUAUUUCCCCCCUUCGAGACUCCAUAGAGUCUCGAAAAAGGCAAAGAAAUGUUACAAUUUCUAUUUACUAUUAAAAUUUGGAGUGUGAGAGCGAAAACCUGUCAGGCAGCUAUCGUUCCAUUAGUAUCCAUCAGACAAUCUAGACAGGAAAAAGUCACUCACGGUCCCUCUGCCCUAGGCGACCACCUAUUGUACUCCAAUCCAAUUGAAAGGUAAGGGUUAAACUUUAUGUGGAAAUAAUGUUUGGCGCAAAUAUUCUUGGGAAUCUCAGAAAUAAAAUUUAAAUUAUCCACAGUCAAGCUGGUCUUCCCAUCGGACCUUCCGUGGACCUAUCCCUGCCUAACACCACUGAUCCUAAACACGAGAAACCAAAGAAAACACCUGAGAUCCCAAUACAUUCACUUUACAACUUAGGCAAUGAAUAACUAACCCUCCCUUCAUACUUUCCAUUCUUCCUAUGCUGUUUGGUAUUUGCAUGACCAUUAAAAUACAACACAGAGAGAGAAAAAUUGACAUUCAUAUCCCAGAUUAUACAUUAACAAACUCUAUGAUUAAAAUGAAUAAUAAUUUUUGGUCCUUAACAUCUUCGGCUGCUUGUGUAGUGUUCUUGUCCAUGGGUGUUCUCCGUUUGUGUAUCCAAUGCAAUGUCCUUGUUCACAUCCUCUGUCAGGUUUCAAUUGUGUUUACAUUGUCCAUGUUUGAUUGUCUUGUUGGGAGGUGUGGAUCCAUUAAGGCUGUUUAGAUCUCUGGAGAACCACCUUUCUUUCGCUGGUUUCCCCAACUGC